This 3213-nucleotide long non-coding RNA is filed under the name Homo sapiens (human). RNAcentral's name for it is "HSALNT0085391". Lineage: Eukaryota; Metazoa; Chordata; Mammalia; Primates; Hominidae. The record is from RNAcentral.
ACAGAAGUCAACAAUUUAGGUUUGGAAACCUCCACCUAGAUUUCAGAGAAUGUAUGAAAAUGCCUGGAUGCCCAGGCAGAAGUUUACUGCAGGGGUGGCGUCCUCAUGGAGAACCUCUGCUAGAUAGGGCAGUGUGGAAAGGAAAUAUGGGGUUGGAGGCACCACAAAGAGUCUGCACUGGGACACUGCCUAGUUGAGCUGUGAGAAGAGGGCGACCAUUCUCUAGUCCCCAGAAUGGUAGAUCCACAAACAUCUUGCAGUCACUCAAUGCCAGCCUGUGAAAGCAGCUGGAAAGACACCACUAGUGAAAUUGCAGGAUGGAAGGAUAAUUCUAUUUUCAGUUUUUUAAGAAAUCUCCAUACUGUUUUCUAUAGAGGUCGUACUAACUUACAGGCCCACCAACAGUGUAGUCUCACCCCGUCACUCAAGCUGAUGUGUAAUGGCACAAUCACAGCUCACUGCAGCCUCAAACUCCUGGGGUCAGGCUGUCCCCCAUCUCAGCCUCAGGUGUGGCUAGGACACAGGCAGGCAACAUCAUGCCGAGAGAAUUUUAAAAAAUUUUUGUAGAGACAAUAUCUCGCUAUGUUGCCUAGGUUAGUCUCAAAUGCCUGACCCUAAGAGACCCUCCUAUCCCAGCCUUCCUCCGAAAGCACUGGGAUUAUAAGCCUGAGCCACCAAGCUCAGCUACAUAUAUUAAUUUUUGAUCCAUUUGUUUUAUCCAUUAUUGAGGGGGGACAAUUAAAAUUUCCAGCUAGCUGUGUGAAUUUUUCCAUUCCUUCAAACAAUUUUAUUAGUUUUUGUUUCUGUAUUUAUAAGUCUAAGUGCUUGAAUAUUUAGUGUUGUUGAUUUUCUUGAUGAAUUCACCCACUUAACAUGACUGCCUCUCAAAUCCUGUGUAAUUUGGAAAAAGCUAAAAUGUAUUUUUUAUAAUAUGUUGGCACUCCAGCUUAUUUAUGAUUAUGUACAAUAUAUAUUUUCCAUUAUUUUAUGUUUAAAUAUGUGUAUUUUUAAUUAAUGUGGUGUUCUUGAAAACCACACAUUUUGGGGUGUUCAUUUUUCUCCAAUUUAAAAAUCUUUGCUUUCCAAUUAGUGUUUACUACAUUUAUAAGUAAUGUAAAUAUUGAUAUUAUUUAUUUGACCUUAUUGCUAUUAUUAUUCAGUGUAACCAUCCAUUCUUUUUCUAUUUUUCCCUCUCCUCCUGACUUUUUUUGAAUGAAUACUGUAUUAGUUUGCUAUGGCAGCCAUAACAGAGUACCAUAGACUAGGUGGCAUAAACAGCAGAAAUUUACUUCUAGUCUUGGAGGAUAGAAGUCUGAGAUCAGGGUGUCAGCAGCACUGGUUUCUUCUGAGGCCUCUCUCUUUGGCUUGUAGACAUCCAUCUUCUCCUUGUGUCUUCACAUGAUCUUACCUCUGGGCAUGUUUGUAUUCUUAUUUUUACUUACGUGGAUAUCAGUCAUAUUGGAUUAGGGCCCACUAUAAUGACAUUAUUUAAAUUUACUUACCUUUUUAAAUAAUCUAUCUCCAAAUACAGUCACAUUCUGAGGUAGUGAGGGUUACAACAUCAACAUAUAAAUUUUGGAGGGAUAUAGUUUUACCCAUACAAUAUAUAUAUAUAUAUAUUUAGGAUAUAUAUAUAUAUGUGUAUAUAUAUAUAUAUAUCUUUAGGAUUCCAUUUAAUUUUUUCUAUUACAUUUUUUACUACCUCACAAUAUGUAAUUUAUUUCUUCAUUUUUAACCUAUAAUUUAACAUUUACAUAUUUAUCUUACCAUACCUUCAAUUAAUAUUUUCCUAACUUAAUAUAAGACAAUAAAACAAGGGUCUUUUAUUUCUCUUCUCUGUCAGUUAUACUCUAGCUGUUAGAUAAUACUUUGCGUGUGUUAGAAACUUCAAAUACAUUGUUAUUUUUGCUUCAAAAUGUAUUGAGAUGAUGGUCAAUACAAAACCUCAGGCAGAAAGUGCAUAUAUUUUUGAGUUAUGUUGCACAGCGUGGUGAAUAUAGUUAGUAAUAAUAUUGUACAUUUAAAAAUUGCUAAGAGUGGUAAAUUUCAAUGUUCUUAUUGCAAAAAAUUGUUAAAUAUUUGAGGUUACAGAUGUGUUGACUUUAAUUAUUCCACAUUAUAUUUAUAAAUCAUAACAUCACUUUGUACCCCAUAUAUUUAUACAGUUAUAAAUCAUCAAUUUACCAUAAAAUAAUUGCUUUUAAAUAAAAAAUAAAAUGAUAGAUAUUUCUCUUAAAACUAAGCUUUUUUUUACACACAUUAGUGCAGUAAUCAUGUUAAUAAUAGCAUUUUAUAGACUUUGUCUAAUUUCAGCAUCCCUACUAUGGAUGGUAGGGCAUAAUAACUAAUAAUAAGAAAGAAAACGGCCAGAUGCAGUGGCUCACACUUGUAACUCCAGCACUUUGGGAGGCCUAGGUAGACUUAUCACAACAUCAGGAGUUCAAGACCAGCCUGGCCAACAUGGUGAAACCCCAUCUCUACUAAAAAUACGAAAAAUUAGCCGGAUGUCGUGGCGGGCACCUGCAAUCCCAGCUACUCAGGAGGCUGAGGCAGGAGAAUCACUUGAACCUGGGAGGUGGAGCUUGCAGUGAGCCGAGAUUGCACCGCUGCACUCUAGCCUGGGCAACUGAGCGACACUCCAUCUCAAAAAAAACAAAAACAACAACAAAAAAAAAAAGAAGAGAGAGAGAGAGAAAGAGAAUACGAGUGAAGUAAGCAAACAAUGGUAUGGAGGUGGAAUUUCACAAUAACUUAGUAUUUAGCAUAAGUUCAAGGAGAACAUCAUACUGAUUUCUGGAGCUCCUUCAUUGCAUGUCACCCUUCUCUGUGUUAUAUGCCUAACAGAUUACAGUCAUUCUUCACAAAAUGUGGUCUUUGUCCUAUCAAGUAAAUAGGACCACCAUGUCUUACUCCCCAUCCCAUGAACCAAAAUGUGUUUCUAGGCAGAAAAUCACCAUAGAGCUCACUUCAAUAGUUUUCUUUCUUUUGGGGAUCACAGUCUGUGCUGAAUCUUCUUCAAUGCCCUCUCCAGCGGAAACUGUUGUUUUAUAUUUUGUGUGGGAAAUUUCGUUUGUUUAUUGUGGUAAGUUAAUUCUAAUUUAUUAUGAUUGAUUCAUGAUGGUUGAUAAGAGCUACUAAAAAUAAAUCUUCAAGCAUUUUAACAAUUAAAUUAAGUAUAACACUGCACUAUUUUCCCAAGAUGAUGAAUGUAAA